This 1063-nucleotide long non-coding RNA is filed under the name Homo sapiens (human). RNAcentral describes it as "non-protein coding lnc-NETO1-1:6". Lineage: Eukaryota; Metazoa; Chordata; Mammalia; Primates; Hominidae. The record is from RNAcentral.
CGCCCGCCAUGAUGCCCGGCUCAUUUUCUGUGUUUUCAGUAGAGACGGGGUUUCACUGUGUUAGCCAGGAAAGUCUUGAUCUCCUGACCUCGUGAUCCUGACCUCGGCCUCCCAAAGUGCUGGGAUUACAGGCGCGAGCCACCGCGCCCGACAGCAGUUAUGAAGUUCUAAAAGCAAGUCUUAAUCAGGAAGUGUCCUUGAUCACCAACGGCUCGCCCAGGCAUGCUGGCUCUCUUCCACUUCCACCUUCCACCAUGGGAUGACGCAGUAAGAAGGCCAUCAGUAGAUGCCAGUCCCUCAACCUUGAACUUUCCAGACGCAGAACUUUAUGCCUCCAUUUUCCUCUGCUGCAUGGCCCCAGGAGAGAUUUUAAUUAGCUUUCUAACCUUGGUCCAGAUUGCACAUGCAAAUGGUAGAGGAUGCAACACCCCCGCUUGUGGAGCUGCCGCUUGUGUCUGGCAUGAAAAUUCACAAGAAGAGAGGAAAUACUGAGGAGAAAAUGGCAGAUUGUGUUUGCUGAAUUUGAUUGACGAAGAAGUCACCAUGAAAAUCACAGUGAACCAUUUGGAAAGCAAACUGCCAAAAAAUAAUAGUUAGUCAUGCUCUCAGGCUGGUUGUUUUGGCUGUUGUGGGUUUCUUGCAUUUCCAGAUGAUUGCAAAGAGCUGUUUCUCAAUUUCUGCAACAAGUGCCAGCUGAAAUUUUGGUACCAGUUUCAUUAAAUAUGUAGAACAAUUUGAGCCUGAGUGAGUUCUGUGGAGCCCAUACUACCUGCGAUUCAAGCCAGCAACCUUGGAAUCUCCCUGAACAAUUUCUAUGGUGUCCAAUCACAUUUGCAAUCACUCCCCACACUCAGACUGUGUAUUUUUGGCUGCUCUCCAAGCCCUUGAGGAAAACACUUGGAGUCAAUCUCAUCCUUUUGAUGCAGUGCUGAGUAAUGAGAGAUUUUAGAAGAUGGAAAAAAGAAAAAUACAUUGCACUCUGAAACAUUCUACAUAAAAAUGGAAUGUGUGGUCAUUAGAUUAACUCAGGCUUUGGACCUCGGGGCAUAAAACCCAUUUCCUC